GGCCCCUCAGGAUUGCCCCGCCCCCGGCCUGCGGUGCGUGGGCAGAGCCUCGCCUACCUCCGGAGCCACCUUCCCACCUGGCUGUGGUUCCGCCGUUGCAGCUCAGCUGCUCCUAGGUUCCCGGGUGGUGGGGGCCGAGCGCACUCCUUUGCGCCCCGGCCCAGGGUAUUGAGGCUCUGCCUGGGAGAGUGGCGGGAGGGACGGCAGUUGGUUGUCGACUGUGGGCGACGGUCUGCAGCGCCCUCUGGGAGUGGACACCGAGCGCCCUCCAGGGAAAGAAAAGGGGAAGAACCGGCGGAGCCCUGCCGGCAAUCUGGUAGGCGGGAGAGAUGGUGCCAAACGACCUUGGACCUGGAGACCAAAGAUGGCGUCUUCCCCACCCGCCCUCCCCAGGCAGAGGACAAGGCCCGCCCGGUUGGCCGGAACUAGGAACCAAAAAGCCUCCUGAGGCGUCUUGGCCUCUUGGGCAGUCUCCCGUGUUUCUCUUUAAACGGAUUAAACGUUCCCGGGUCCUGGGUUUUGCAAGUAGGGACAGUUAGCUGUGGGCCCCUGGAUUCUUCUCCACCCACCCUGCAGGUUUGCGGUGAGCUAAGCAACCUCCUGCGCCCCCAUCUUAGCCGCUCCUCCCAUCAGGCCACUAAAAAGUGAUGCCCCACCCCCACGCCCACACAGCACUCAGCCCUGGUUUUGCCUCUGCUCCUGUAUACUUGUUUGACCUCAGGAAGCUCUCCCUUCCGGGGUCUCAGUGUCCCCGGAUCUGUCUAUGAGGGACGACAGAUCCUCAUCCGGGUUCUUGAGGCCUGAUGCAGGGUCUCUUAGUGCCUCGGUUUCAAGGAUCGUCCAACAGCAUGGUACCAGGCGGGGCUCCUCCAAGGAGCUCAGGGGGUCCGGGGUAAAAUGCCCUUUUGGUAGAAGACCAUGAAAAUAAAAAAAGAAGACCAUGUGUGUGUCCGCCAGGGUGUGGCUCAUGGUCUGAAGUCAGCUCUCUAGCCCUUUCAACCCAAUAUGGAGGAAAAGUAGGUACGUUUGAAAUCUUGCCUCUCUCUAAUGCACAAAAUAAAGAAGAUUGAGGUCAGGGA
This is a long non-coding RNA of Orcinus orca (killer whale), 1079 nucleotides long. RefSeq lists it as uncharacterized. The transcript has 2 exons. Lineage: Eukaryota; Metazoa; Chordata; Mammalia; Artiodactyla; Delphinidae. The record is from RefSeq and is a predicted model, not a curated record.